Molecule: ribosomal RNA, 252 nt
Filed under: uncultured bacterium
Lineage: Bacteria
Description: partial 16S ribosomal RNA
Rfam family: Bacterial small subunit ribosomal RNA
Source: RNAcentral
UACGGAGGAUGCGAGCGUUAUCCGGAUUUAUUGGGUUUAAAGGGUGCGUAGGCGGACGCUUAAGUCAGCGGUAAAAUUGCGGGGCUCAACCUCGUCGAGCCGUUGAAACUGGGUGCCUUGAGUGGGCGAGAAGUACGCGGAAUGCGUGGUGUAGCGGUGAAAUGCAUAGAUAUCACGCAGAACUCCGAUUGCGAAGGCAGCGUACCGGCGUCCAACUGACGCUGAAGCACGAAGGCGUGGGUAUCGAACAGG